Molecule: ribosomal RNA, 440 nt
Filed under: uncultured bacterium
Lineage: Bacteria
Description: partial 16S ribosomal RNA
Rfam family: Bacterial small subunit ribosomal RNA
Source: RNAcentral
CCUACGGGAGACAGCAGUGGGGAAUAUUGCACAAUGGGGGAAACCCUGAUGCAGCGACGCCGCGUGAGUGAAGAAGUACUUCGUUAUGUAAAGCUCUAUCUGCAGGGGAGAAAAUGACGGUACCUGAGUAAGAAGCCCCGGCUAACUACGUGCCAGCAGCCGCGGUAAUACGGAGGGGGCAAGCGUUAUCCGGAUUUACUGGGUGUAAAGGGAGCGUAGACGGCAGUGCAAGUCUGGAGUGAAAGGCGGGGGCUCAACCCCCGGACUGCUUUGGAAACUGUGGAGAUAGAGUGCUGGAGAGGUAAGUGGAAUUCCUAGUGUAGCGGUGAAAUGCGUAGAUAUUAGGAAGAACACCAGUGGCGAAGGCGGCUUACUGGACAGUGACUGACGUUGAGGCUCGAAAGCGUGGGGAGCAAACAGGAUUAGAUACCCGUGUAGUC